RNAcentral lists this ribosomal RNA (255 nucleotides) under uncultured bacterium. RNAcentral's name for it is "partial 16S ribosomal RNA". It matches the Rfam family "Bacterial small subunit ribosomal RNA", at positions 524 to 776 of the family's 1533-position model. The record is from RNAcentral.
UACGUAGGGGGCUAGCGUUGUCCGGAAUCAUUGGGCGUAAAGCGCGUGUAGGCGGUCCGGUAAGUCCGCUGUGAAAGUCGGGGGCUCAACCCUCGAAUGCCGGUGGAUACUGUCGGGCUAGAGUGCGGAAGAGGCGAGUGGAAUUCCGUGGUGUAGCGGUGAAAUGCGCAGAUAUCAGGAGGAACACCAAUUGCGAAGGCAGCUCGCUGGGACGUAACUGACGCUGGAGACGCGAAAGCGUGGGGAGCAAACAGG